GACGAACGCUGGCGGCGUGCUUAACACAUGCAAGUCGAACGGAAAGGCCCUGCUUUUGUGGGGUGCUCGAGUGGCGAACGGGUGAGUAACACGUGAGUAACCUGCCCUUGACUUUGGGAUAACUUCAGGAAACUGGGGCUAAUACCGGAUAGGAGCUCCUGCUGCAUGGUGGGGGUUGGAAAGUUUCGGUGGUUGGGGAUGGACUCGCGGCUUAUCAGCUUGUUGGUGGGGUAGUGGCUUACCAAGGCUUUGACGGGUAGCCGUCCUGGGAGGGUGACCGGCCACAUUGGGAUGGGGAUACGGCCCAGACUCGUACGGGAGGGAGGGGUGGAGAAUAGUGCACAAGGGGCGGAAGCAUGAUGCAGCAACGCCGCGUGGGGGAUGAGGUCAUGCGGGUUGGAAAGUGCUUUCGCCUGUGACGAAGCGUGAGUGACGGUAAUGGGAAAAGAAGCACCGGCUAACUACGU
This 467-nucleotide ribosomal RNA is filed under the name uncultured bacterium. RNAcentral describes it as "partial 16S ribosomal RNA". It matches the Rfam family "Bacterial small subunit ribosomal RNA", at positions 28 to 506 of the family's 1533-position model. The record is from RNAcentral.